GACGGGGGGUGCUAGCGUUGUUCGGAAUGACUGGGCGUAAAGGGCGCGUAGGCGGCCGCUUGCGUCGGAUGUGAAAGCCCGGGGCUCAACCCCGGAACGGCAUCCGAUACGGGGCGGCUCGAGACCGAGAGAGGUGAGUGGAAUACCCAGUGUAGAGGUGAAAUUCGUAGAUAUUGGGUGGAACACCGGUGGCGAAAGCGGCUCACUGGCUCGGUUCUGACGCUGAGGCGCGAAAGCGUGGGGAGCAAACAGG
RNAcentral lists this ribosomal RNA (253 nucleotides) under uncultured bacterium. Its description in RNAcentral is "partial 16S ribosomal RNA". It matches the Rfam family "Bacterial small subunit ribosomal RNA", at positions 524 to 776 of the family's 1533-position model. The record is from RNAcentral.